GGACUACGGGGGUAUCUAAUCCGGUUUGCUCCCCCAGCUUUCGUCCCUCACUGUCGGAGCCGUUCUAGUGAGACGCCUUCGCCACAGGUGGUCCCCCAAGGAUUACAGGAUUUCACUCCUACCCCUGGAGUACCUCUCACCUCUCCCGGUCCCUAGAUUGCCAGUUUCUCCUGAACGCCCAUCGGUUGAGCCGGUGGAUUUCCCAAGAGACUUAACAAUCCAGCUACGGACGCUUUAAGCCCAGUAAUAGUGGCCACCACUCGAGCCGCCGGUAUUACCGCGGCGGCUGGCACCGGUCUUGCCCGGCCCUUUCUUCACCAGUUAUUUACACUGGCGGACAGCCCGAAUUUACGGGCACUCGGGGUUCCCUUAUCACGAUUUCUCGCAUUGUAAAGUUUUCGCGCCUGCUGCCCCCCAUAGG
RNAcentral lists this ribosomal RNA (421 nucleotides) under uncultured Methanolinea sp. RNAcentral describes it as "partial 16S ribosomal RNA". Lineage: Archaea; Methanobacteriati; Methanobacteriota; Methanomicrobia; Methanomicrobiales; Methanoregulaceae. The record is from RNAcentral.